Molecule: long non-coding RNA, 2304 nt
Organism: Raphanus sativus (radish)
Lineage: Eukaryota; Viridiplantae; Streptophyta; Magnoliopsida; Brassicales; Brassicaceae
Exons: 7
Source: RefSeq, a predicted model, not a curated record
CGCCCUAAUACGCUGUCGUUACAGAAAUCAAUCCCUUCGAUGAAACUCCAUCUUCGUCGUUUUUCCAAUUCCUGAAAGGAUCGUCGAUGAACCCACUACUCCAUCUCUUUAUUUGUUACAGAAAAAAAAUCUCAAACAAUGAAUCUGCGAUGUUAAGGGAUUGAAAAAUAUGCGAUUCAUGUCUCAGACUUUUAUUGGCGUUCGCAGCCGUCGUGGUCCCUCGAUGGUGAGGCUUCAGAUUUUUGAGCAAAGCAGACAAAGAAAAUUCUGGGACGCUGACUCCGAAAGAGUAUCAAGAAGCAAUGGAUGACAUAUGUGUUAGAAACCCUCAAUUGGAGCUCUACUUGAAGAGUAAACGUAUGCGUGGCAUUGUGGAUCUUCUAAAAGAAGCUGAAGCUGGUGAUGGAUCCAAGAAGAACAUCAAGCUGAAGAUAGAAGAGUUCAAAUCGGCUCUAUCUCAGGUUGACUCACAAGUGAAGUUUCUUCCAGCAACAGCACAGGUUGCUGCGCAGCAGGGCACAUACCUUGCUUAAUGCUUUGAUCGAAUGGAAGAGUGUGAGAAGAAUCCAGAAGGCCCCAUUAGGAUGAGAGGAGAAGGUCACCAUCUCCGCCCCUUCAGGUAUAGGCAUUUGGGAUCAUUUUCACCACUGGGAGGGGAACAAACGGCCGCAGAACUUCCAGGAGAUUGGGUUUCUAUUGGACAUAGCAGCCAGUGGCUGUGGUAUUCCGUCUACGCCAGUAAGCAAGUGAGCUGGUGCACGAGAGUCAUUGUGGUUUCUGAUUGGAUGAGGUGUUUCAUCUUUGGUAGAGACUCAAGUAGCAUCUGAGUAUAACAUCACCAAAAGGGCAGUCAUCCCCUUCAUGAGACAGAGAGAGACAAUGGAAACAAUGUUUUUGAAGAUUUUCAUACUCCAGUUCAACUUGUUUACGUUCUCCAGCCAAGUUAAUUUCCAGUGGCUUUAGUCCGUUGAUAGCGACACGGACUCUAGCUUGAUCAACAUCAAAAUCUUCCACAGGUCCCAAUUCUUUCCCAAUAGCUCUCAGAGUAUCUUCCGUCCAGUAAUGAAGCGGGAUACCAUGAACUGUGAUCCAGAAUGGGAUUGAUGCCAGGAAGUUAUCAGAGAUUACAGGUUCCCACUUCUGUAGUAUCAUCAUCCAUCUCUUGAAGUGGUAGGGACCUUCCUUAAGAAUGCGCUUCAUAUCUCUCUCAUUGUCAAACCGGAAUUGAAACAGGUUAGGACCCAAUGCUUUCCCGGUAAACUGGCCUUAGACAUGCCAGUGUUGGAGGAAGAAGUCCACAAGCGCCUUUGUUUUCUGUAUCGCAGGGUUCGUGACUCUGCCAAUGAGAGUUAGCCGAUUUUCUUCGAUGAGUUUUUUGUUGUCUGACACCGGGAUGUUGAUUGGUGGUCGUCUGAUAGGUUUUGAAGUUUCUGGUAUCCAUUUACCUUUAUCUCCUCUACUCAGUCUGUGAGCCAUUUAAACCGAAGAGAGAGAGAGACAAGCAAGUAAUAAAUGGUCGUAGUAAAUGUAAAACGGUAAGAUCCAAAUCUUAUGGUAAAUCCUCAGUGACGAGGUAAGGAACUGCACAAGACAGUAAAGGGUUCACUAGGGACAAAAGACUUGAAACUUUCCCUCCAUUGCAGUAGAAAGUUGAUUCUUUUUCCCGUCCUUACCCUUCUUCAUUUUGUAGAUCUACGUCAGAUACACCUUCUGAUUACUCAUCUUGGACCGAACAAGUGUUUUACUUGGAGAGGGGGAGCUGGGGGCUGAAGAUGCUGGAGAUUGGAGGAAAUUUCCGGUAAAGUUGGUCGCUUUAUCACGGUUGUUUCCGACAAGGGAGCGGUAGAUUUGCACAAAGUCAACUUUAGAACAGUAAUCCUCGAUAUUAGUGUUUGGGAGCUUUUUAGCGAUGAUUCUAUUUUAUUCUGUCAUACCAAAAGGUCCAAACUAUCCACACAUCUCUCUCUCUCUCUCUCUCUCUCUCUCUCUCUCUCUCUCUCUCUCUCUCUCUCUCUCUCUCUCUCUCUCUCUCUCUCUCCCCCUUUACGCCCCGAACCAGCUUACACUUUUAACUUUUCUUUCUCAUGUGAAAAGAACGAAUUGAUUUUUGUUGUUUUUCAUUUCGGCUUUAUAUUCGUAAUAAAAUCACUACAAGGAUGCGAGGAGAUUGCUUCGUUUAUUGGUCGUAUGUCUUUUUAAAAAUGCAUUUUCCAUGCGGUUUUGUUUUUCGUUUAUGAUUACAAAUGUUAUUUUCUGAUCACUGAAGUUUGUAUCGUUAUUUCAAGUAACGCAUAUACAAACGAA